GUACGGGAGGCAGCAGUAGGGAAUUUUGCGCAAUGGACGAAAGUCUGACGCAGCAACGCCGCGUGAGGGAUGAAGGUCUUCGGAUUGUAAACCUCUGUUGAUUGGGAAGAAUAACGUCGCGGACAAUAACCGCGAGGGAUGACGGUACCAGUCGAGGAAGCCCCGGCUAACUACGUGCCAGCAGCCGCGGUAAUACGUAGGGGGCAAGCGUUGUUCGGAAUUACUGGGCGUAAAGGGAGCGUAGGCGGAUUGGCAAGUUAGGAGUGAAAUCCACAGGCUUAACCUGUGGGUUGCUUUUAAAACUGCUUUUCUUGAGUAUUGGAGAGGAUGAUGGAAUUCCAGGUGUAGCGGUGGAAUGCGUAGAUAUCUGGAAGAACACCAGUUGCGUAGGCGGUCAUCUGGCCAAAUACUGACGCUGAGGCUCGAAAGCUAGGGGAGCAAACAGGAUUAGAUACCCCUGU
Molecule: ribosomal RNA, 461 nt
Filed under: uncultured bacterium
Lineage: Bacteria
Description: bacterial SSU rRNA
Rfam family: Bacterial small subunit ribosomal RNA
Source: RNAcentral